Molecule: ribosomal RNA, 521 nt
Filed under: uncultured bacterium
Lineage: Bacteria
Description: bacterial SSU rRNA
Rfam family: Archaeal small subunit ribosomal RNA
Source: RNAcentral
AGUGAAUAGAUACCCAGGUAGUCCCAGCCGUAAACGAUGCUCGCUAGGUGUCAGGCAUGGCGCGACCGUGUCUGGUGCCGCAGGGAAGCCGUGAAGCGAGCCACCUGGGAAGUACGGCCGCAAGGCUGAAACUUAAAGGAAUUGGCGGGGAGCACAACAACGGGUGGAGCCUGCGGUUUAAUUGAACUCAACGCCGGACAACUCACCGGGGGCGACAGCAAUAUGUAGGCCAAGCUGAAGACUUUGCCUGAAUCGCUGAGAGGAGGUGCAUGGCCGUCGCCAGUUCGUACUGUGAAGCAUCCUGUUAAGUCAGGCAACGAGCGAGACCCGUGCCCACUGUUACCAGCAUAUUCUCCGGAAUGAUGGGUACUCUGUGGGGACCGCCUAUGUUAAAUAGGAGGAAGGUGCGGGCCACGGUAGGUCAGUAUGCCCCGGAAUCUCCCGGGGCUACACGCGGGCUACAAUGGAUGGGACAAUGGGUCCCUACUCCGAAAGGAGCUGGUAAUCUCACAAACCCAUUC